UACGUAGGGGGCAAGCGUUGUCCGGAAUCAUUGGGCGUAAAGAGCGUGUAGGCGGCUUGGUAAGUCCGCUGUGAAAGUCCAGGGCUCAACCCUGGAAAGCCGGUGGAAACUGUCAAGCUUGAGUCCGGAAGAGGCGAGUGGAAUUCCUGGUGUAGCGGUGAAAUGCGCAGAUAUCAGGAGGAACACCAAUGGCGAGGGCAGCUCGCUGGGACGGUACUGACGCUGAGACGCGAAAGCGUGGGGAGCAAACAGG
RNAcentral lists this ribosomal RNA (253 nucleotides) under uncultured bacterium. RNAcentral describes it as "partial 16S ribosomal RNA". It matches the Rfam family "Bacterial small subunit ribosomal RNA", at positions 524 to 776 of the family's 1533-position model. The record is from RNAcentral.